Long non-coding RNA from Pygocentrus nattereri (red-bellied piranha), 1383 nucleotides. RefSeq lists it as uncharacterized. The record is from RefSeq and is a predicted model, not a curated record. Lineage: Eukaryota; Metazoa; Chordata; Actinopteri; Characiformes; Serrasalmidae. The transcript is spliced from 2 exons.
CCCACGUCUCGUUGCGUUGGACGUAAGAAAAACCCCAGUUCCACGAGAGACCUGCAAAAUCUGAUGGAGCCUCAGUGGACCCUCGUUUCACCAUCUCGGCGCUGAUUUCCUCGGUGGAGCAGUGGAGAAGAGCUGUCUGCAAGCUCUGUAACAGGGUCUCUGCGACCGAAACAGACGAAGUAAAGCUUCUCCGAAGUUUUUGGCCUGCUGGUGGACAAGAGGACCCUAUAGGUUAAUCAGCGCCUGCGAGGCUCCUGUUCAGAUAUUCUUGUCAUCAACGAACCACGACGUGUUAUUAAACGCAGAAAAGUAAAAAAAAUUGGGGCGAAUUCCUGAAGUGAUGGUAUCAACUUUUUUUCCAUUCAUUGUGAAAUCCCAAAAAAAGCCGUCAUGCGAUGCAACACCCUGAGGCAGUUUAAGGUUUCCCAGAAGAUGGCGAUGCUGUGUUAUUUAGGGCAAUAUGAGUGCGUGUGUGGGGGAGAUAUGAUGACCAUUUUCUAAUCAUUUGAGCCAACCUUGCCUCGUUUUUAACAUUUAGCAGUCAUGCAUAUUUAAAAGGAUUUAGUAUGUGUGCAUUGCUUAGCCAGGUUAAACCAUUUGGGACAGUUCACCCCCAACCCCAGAAGAACCAUAGCUACCCAGGAACAUUGUCAGUUUGGCCCUGGUGAAUGUAAAUGUAACCAUCACAAUUUUGAUAGCUUUAUUUCUGACUUCUAACGCCUGAUAUGUACAGACCAAGCCAUCCAAAUUGUAUAAACAGACCACAGGACUCGAUUGUAUUUGACAAUACUUUAUUUGUUUUCUUGCACAAUAAAUAAAUUGUCAUCUGUUCACCAAACAAGCAGUAAUCUCUUCAUGAAUUUUAAACCUCAGAGUAAUACAUAACAUCUAGUCAGGAUUGUGGUUUAAAACACAGACACAUCUUACAUCUGUUUUGUUUAAUGUGUCACACUGCAAAAGGUGUUAUGAGCUAUACAUCCGUUCCAUACAUGGGUACACCCAGGCUUAUCACAAUACUUUAAACAAAUACUAGCAGAUCCACUGUAAUUCACUAUAAAACACUGCUGGACUCCAUACCCACCACAAUUACUUGCAAAACACUGAAAGGCCCAUACCCAUCACGUUUUAUUAAAAUGCUCCACCACUAUUCAUUCCAAACACUGGUAGACCCAUAGCCAUCACAACGCUUUAUAAAACACUGGUCCACCAUAUUUUUAUGAAGCACUAAUAAACCCAUGCCCAUCAUAAAUCCCUUACAAAACACUGGUAGGCCUGAAAACAUGAAUGCUUACAAAAUACCAGUCUUUACUGAUAAAACACUGGCAAGCCCAUACCAGUCGUGAUUCAUUCUAAAAUGCUGGUCCAUCUUUUUUUUUUUUUUUU